Styela clava is the source of this 393-nucleotide long non-coding RNA. RefSeq lists it as uncharacterized. The record is from RefSeq and is a predicted model, not a curated record. NCBI's taxonomy places the organism in Eukaryota, Metazoa, Chordata, Ascidiacea, Stolidobranchia, Styelidae.
AGCUCGUAUUGUAUUGCAUUUAUAGAUACUGUUUUACCUUGGUUGUAUAUCUGUCGUUUUGGGACUAUUCUGUUAUAUGGAGUUGUUUUGUCCUGCUACAUAUGCGAAUUUCUACAAUUCUUGAAUAUAUAUUUGAUAAAUGCAGUCGUUUCUUUCAUAUAAAUGUCGAACUAUGUUGACAAGACUGAAGUGGCAUGUUUCAGAAUGGCAUUCCAGCAAUUUCUGAUGGCAUUUUCGUUACACGCAGUAACACCGGUAGCUACUCGAAGAAAAUAAAUUCCUUCAACUUCUGAAGAAAUCAAGAAGAUAUCUUUUGAAUCAUUGAUAUGUUUGAGCAGUUGUCUGUUGAUCAUGUUACUUUUCUGAAAUGAAUAAAAUAGGGUCAACAAGGGA